UUAAGUGAAUAAGGGCGCACGGUGGAUGCCUUGGCACUAGGAGCCGAUGAAGGACGGGACUAACACCGAUAUGCUUUGGGGAGCUGUAAGUAAGCUAUGAUCCAGAGAUUUCCGAAUGGGGGAACCCAAUAUCUUUUAUAGGAUAUUACUUUUCAGUGAAUACAUAGCUGAUUAGAGGUAGACGCAGAGAACUGAAACAUCUUAGUACCUGCAGGAAGAGAAAGAAAAUUCGAUUCCCUGAGUAGCGGCGAGCGAAACGGGAAGAGCCCAAACCAACAAGCUUGCUUGUUGGGGUUGUAGGACUCCAAUAUGGUAGUCUGUUAGUAUAGUUGAAGGAUUUGGAAAAUUCCGCUAAAGAGGGUGAAAGCCCCGUAGACGAAAUGCUGACAACACCUAGGAGGAUCCUGAGUACGGCGGAACACGAGAAAUUCCGUCGGAAUCCGCGGGGACCAUCCCGCAAGGCUAAAUACUCCCUAGUGACCGAUAGUGAACCAGUACCGUGAGGGAAAGGUGAAAAGCACCCCGGAAGGGGAGUGAAAUAGAUCCUGAAACCGUGUGCUUACAACAAGUCAAAGCUCGUUAAUGAGUGAUGGCGUGCCUUUUGUAGAAUGAACCGGCGAGUUACGAUUGCAUGCGAGGUUAAGUCGAAGAGACGGAGCCGCAGCGAAAGCGAGUCUGAAUAGGGCGAAUGAGUAUGUAGUCGUAGACCCGAAACCAUGUGAUCUACCCAUGUCCAGGUUGAAGGUGCGGUAAAACGCACUGGAGGACCGAACCCACGUACGUUGAAAAGUGCGGGGAUGAGGUGUGGGUAGCGGAGAAAUUCCAAACGAACUUGGAGAUAGCUGGUUCUCUCCGAAAUAGCUUUAGGGCUAGCCUCGGAAUUGAGAAUGAUGGAGGUAGAGCACUGUUUGGACUAGGGGCCCAUCUCGGGUUACCGAAUUCAGAUAAACUCCGAAUGCCAUUCAUUUAUAUCCGGGAGUCAGACUGCGAGUGAUAAGAUCCGUAGUCGAAAGGGAAACAGCCCAGACCACCAGCUAAGGUCCCAAAAUAUAUGUUAAGUGGAAAAGGAUGUGGGGUUGCACAGACAACUAGGAUGUUGGCUUAGAAGCAGCCACCAUUUAAAGAGUGCGUAAUAGCUCACUAGUCGAGUGACCCUGCGCCGAAAAUGUACCGGGGCUAAACAUAUUACCGAAGCUGUGGACUACACCAUUAGGUGUAGUGGUAGGAGAGCGUUCUAAGGGCGUUGAAGGUCGAUCGUGAGGACGGCUGGAGCGCUUAGAAGUGAGAAUGCCGGUAUGAGUAGCGAAAGACAGGUGAGAAUCCUGUCCACCGUAUGACUAAGGUUUCCUGGGGAAGGCUCGUCCGCCCAGGGUUAGUCGGGACCUAAGCCGAGGCCGAUAGGCGUAGGCGAUGGACAACAGGUUGAUAUUCCUGUACCAGUUGUUUUUGUUUGAGCAAUGGAGGGACGCAGUAGGCUAAGGAAUGCAUGCGAUUGGAAGUGCAUGUCCAAGCAAUGAGUCUUGAGUAGAGUUAAAUGCUUUACUCUUUAAGGACAAGUUGUGACGGGGAGCGAAAUAAUAGUAGCGAAGUUCCUGAUGUCACACUGCCAAGAAAAGCUUCUAGUGAGAAAACAACUGCCCGUACCGUAAACCGACACAGGUAGUCGAGGAGAGUAUCCUAAGGUGAGCGAGCGAACUCUCGUUAAGGAACUCGGCAAAAUGACCCCGUAACUUCGGGAGAAGGGGUGCUGACGUCGGUCAGCCGCAGUGAAUAGGCCCAAGCGACUGUUUAUCAAAAACACAGGUCUCUGCAAAAUCGUAAGAUGAAGUAUAGGGGCUGACGCCUGCCCGGUGCUGGAAGGUUAAGAGGAUGGGUUAGCUUCGGCGAAGCUCAGAAUUGAAGCCCCAGUAAACGGCGGCCGUAACUAUAACGGUCCUAAGGUAGCGAAAUUCCUUGUCGGGUAAGUUCCGACCCGCACGAAAGGCGUAACGAUUUGGGCACUGUCUCAACGAGAGACUCGGUGAAAUUUUAGUACCUGUGAAGAUGCAGGUUACCCGCGACAGGACGGAAAGACCCCAUGGAGCUUUACUGUAGUUUGAUAUUGAGUGUUUGUACCACAUGUACAGGAUAGGUAGGAGCCGAUGAGACCGGAACGCUAGUUUCGGAGGAGGCG
Molecule: ribosomal RNA, 2173 nt
Filed under: Enterococcus faecalis EnGen0359
Lineage: Bacteria; Bacillati; Bacillota; Bacilli; Lactobacillales; Enterococcaceae
Description: bacterial LSU rRNA
Rfam family: Bacterial large subunit ribosomal RNA
Source: RNAcentral